Molecule: ribosomal RNA, 432 nt
Filed under: uncultured bacterium
Lineage: Bacteria
Description: partial 16S ribosomal RNA
Rfam family: Bacterial small subunit ribosomal RNA
Source: RNAcentral
ACGCACGCUGGCGGCAUGCCUCACCCCUGCAAGUCGAACGAGACCUUCGGGUCUAGUGGCGCACGGGUGCGUAACGCGUGGGAACCUGCCCUUAGGUUCGGAAUAACUCCCCGAAAGGGGUGCUAAUACCGGAUAAUGUCUUCGGACCAAAGAUUUAUCGCCUUUGGAUGGGCCCGCGUUGGAUUAGCUAGUUGGUAGGGUAAAAGCCUACCAAGGCGACGAUCCAUAGCUGGUCUGAGAGGAUGAUCAGCCACACUGGGACUGAGACACGGCCCAGACUCCUACGGGAGGCAGCAGUGGGGAAUAUUGGACAAUGGGCGAAAGCCUGAUCCAGCAAUGCCGCGUGAGUGAUGAAGGCCUUAGGGUUGUAAAGCUCUUUUACCCGGGAUGAUAAUGACAGUACCGGGAGAAUAAGCUCCGGCUAACUCCGUG